Long non-coding RNA from Homo sapiens (human), 1348 nucleotides. Ensembl annotates it as TRIM67 antisense RNA 1. Its record names the gene TRIM67-AS1. The record is from Ensembl. Lineage: Eukaryota; Metazoa; Chordata; Mammalia; Primates; Hominidae.
CAGGAAUCGAAGCUUCACUGAGAGUUUCACACCAUCAUUGGGCACAAAGGAGGUUGUGAAAUGGACCACAGGGGAUUUCUCUCACCUUUUUAUCUGCCCCUCAGUGCUAAGAACAAAGAGGGAGCGCCUCAGCCUGGCUGUCAAGCCCUUCAUCCAUUCACCGAUGUAUUCAUUCAGCAAGCGACUGCCAGCCGCCUAUCAGGAGAGAGGGAGUUUUCAGAUAAAGGCUCUGGGAAUCCUGAGAAGGGUGGAAGGUGCAGGAAUGGACGCCGUGGAGUACAGGCUGGCUGGCUGGACAACACACACUUCCCAUUGAGCCAGCAACUCGGAUUUAGGAGCCAGCAGAUGGUGACCGAAGUGCCCUGCUCUCUGGAAGUCCAGGCACCAGCUCAGCUCCACACUAGCCUAGGCCCUGCAAGCAGAAUAAGCUGACCCUCCCCAACCUGCCGGCCACCCAUUCAGGAGCACUGCUGGGUGUUUAUCCAGCAACCCUUAGAGCUGGGCUUCAGGGUUGGGCCCUGAAUUCAAACCCUAAUUUUACGUGACCUAGUUUCUUGCCCUCUGUGAGACUUCGUGUCCUCACGUGUGAAUUGGGGUGAUGAUACCCACCCCAAAGGCCUGCCUCAAGGUUUAAUGAUGGUGUGCAUGGAAGGCCCUGGGUUCAGGGACUGGCACUCUACUCAUGGUGGUUCUCGGUAGAAUGAGAACCCCAGAGAGAGCUUCCCCGACAGCUGCAGGGACCAUUGUUUUUCUGCUGUUGACCUUCCAUUAUCCUCUAUAACAGUAUCCCAAUUUUGCUUUGAGAAGUUGCCUUUUCUCCACUGAGCACAGCCUGGUAGGGCUGGAAUUAGGACUCCAGUACCACUGCCUUCACCCUGACAAGGGGUAGGCACAUGCCUGUGUGAACCCUGAGAGAGCCAGCCCUUCGAGAUGGAUCCUGAGGGGCUAUCCGGGUCUGAAUUCUGAGUGGCGCUGAAAGCCAUUUGCCUACUGCAGGUUCCCUACAUGCCCUGUGCAAGCCGAACAGUAGCUCAAUGUUGGGGCCUUCUUAGCUGUCUGUUCCUGCUCACACUGCCAGAAUCAACUGCUGCCGACGUCCUCAUUCUACCACCUGAACCUGACCAAUGAAAUGUGACCCGUGGUCAACUUUAACAUCAGCAAAUCAGAACUGAACAAGCUUGCAUCCCUCAGAUGCAAUGGGAACUGGGAUUAGAAUCUAAGCAGAAACUUUUUCUAUGCAGGAUAGCCCUUCUCUUUGUUCUGGCAGACGUGCCUUUGUUUUAUACUGAAGGCUGAGUCUCCCCAGUUGGCAAACUGCUGGUUGGAAUAAAGACUCUUUUUAAAAACA